Molecule: ribosomal RNA, 380 nt
Filed under: uncultured eukaryote
Lineage: Eukaryota
Description: partial 18S ribosomal RNA
Rfam family: Eukaryotic small subunit ribosomal RNA
Source: RNAcentral
CAAUAGCGUAUAUUAAAGUUGUUGCAGUUAAAAAGCUCGUAGUUGGAUUUGUGGCGUACGGUGUGUUCCGGGCACUUGUUGUCUGAGUAACCUGCUGUUGCCAUCCUUGGGUGGAACCUGUGUGGCAUUAGGUUGUCGUGCAGGGGAUGCCCAUCAUUUACUGUGAAAAAAUUAGAGUGUUCAAAGCAGGCUUAUGCCGUUGAAUAUAUUAGCAUGGAAUAAUGAGAUAGGACUUUUCUGCUAUUUUGUUGGUUUGCGCAAAGAGGUAAUGAUUAAUAGGGACAGUUGGGGGUAUUCGUAUUCCAUUGUCAGAGGUGAAAUUCUUGGAUUUUUGGAAGACGAACUACUGCGAAAGCAUUUACCAAGGAUGUUUUCAUUAA